UGGUGAGUAACGCGUGAGGAACCUGCCUUCCANAGGGGGACAACAGUUGGAAACGACUGCUAAUACCGCAUGAUACGUUGGAGCCGCAUGACUCCGACGUCAAAGAUUUAUCGCUGGAAGAUGGCCUCGCGUCUGAUUAGCUAGUUGGUGAGGUAACGGCCCACCAAGGCGACGAUCAGUAGCCGGACUGAGAGGUUGGCCGGCCACAUUGGGACUGAGAUACGGCCCAGACUCCUACGGAAGGCAGCAG
This 250-nucleotide ribosomal RNA is filed under the name uncultured bacterium. RNAcentral describes it as "partial 16S ribosomal RNA". It matches the Rfam family "Bacterial small subunit ribosomal RNA", at positions 104 to 354 of the family's 1533-position model. The record is from RNAcentral.